Molecule: ribosomal RNA, 247 nt
Filed under: uncultured bacterium
Lineage: Bacteria
Description: partial 16S ribosomal RNA
Rfam family: Bacterial small subunit ribosomal RNA
Source: RNAcentral
UUUCCUACGGGACGCAGCAGGGAAUCUUCCGCAAUGGGCGCAAGCCUGAUGGAGCAACACCGCGUGAGUGAAGAAGGGUUUCGGCUCGUAAAGCUCUGUUGUUGGAGAAGAACGGGCGUGAGAGUAACUGUUCACGCAGUGACGGUAUCCAACCAGAAAGUCCCGGCUAACUACGUGCCAGCAGCCGCGGUAAUACGUAGGUGGCAAGCGUUAUCCGGAUUUCUUGGGCGUAAAGCGAGCGCAGGCG